GUGCCAGCCGCCGCGGUAAUACCGGCAGCUCAAGUGAUGUCCCAUAUUAUUGGGCCUAAAGCGUCCGUAGCUGGCCGACCAAGUCUCCCGGGAAAUCCACCCGCCCAACGGGUGGGCGUCCGGCGAAAACUGUGCGGCUUGGGACCGGAAGAUCCAAGGGGUACGUCCGGGGUAGGAGUAAAAUCCCGUAAUCCUGGACGGACCACCGAUGGCGAAAGCACCUUGGAAGGACGGAUCCGACAGUGAGGGACGAAAGCUAGGGUCUCGAACCGGAUUAGAUACCCUGGUAGUCC
This 293-nucleotide ribosomal RNA is filed under the name uncultured bacterium. Its description in RNAcentral is "partial 16S ribosomal RNA". It matches the Rfam family "Archaeal small subunit ribosomal RNA", at positions 455 to 747 of the family's 1478-position model. The record is from RNAcentral.